AUUACUUCUCGGCCUUUGACCAAGAUCAAGUGUAGAUAUCUGUUCUUAUCAGUUAAAAAUAUAUAUAGUAUUUACUGAUUUGAGAGAGAGACAUCACUUAGUUGUUCCACUUAUUUAUGCAUUCAUUGGUUGAUUCUUGUAUGUGCCCUGACCAGGGAUCAAACCUGCAACCUUA
Non-coding RNA from Myotis lucifugus (little brown bat), 175 nucleotides. The record is from Rfam. NCBI's taxonomy places the organism in Eukaryota, Metazoa, Chordata, Mammalia, Chiroptera, Vespertilionidae.